CUUGAGAACCCUCAGUUCUUUGGAUAAAUAGGAGGUUAGGUGCUCAGAGGAAGAGCCUGUGACCCCAUCAUAAAUAUUUAAGAGAAUCUUACUUUCAUUUCUGAAAGAGCCUUGCAGCUGUUUAUAGGGGUCAGCUUUUUCUGAGAGAAAAAAUUUUAUCCCAGGUUUUAGGGCUUUGACACUGACUUUGAGGUAAUCAGCAAUUCCCAGGAGCAUAACACACUACUGUGGUCCAAUCAGUUCUAUUUUUACUGAAGGUUGGCUCCCUGUGGCUCACACUUAACCUCUGUUAUUUCCUUAGUCUGCAGUGUAUAGUGGAAUAGAAGGGCUCAGCCCCCAGGAGAACCUCAUCUGAGGACCCAUAACCUGAGGGUGCUAUUGCAGGAAAAGCCAAAUGGAAGCUCCCAGAGCUGCCCUCCCUGCCAGAGAGUCAAAGGAAAGCAGAAACAUUUUCCCGAGGGAACGGCAGGGAUUUGUGUCGUCAUCAGAGACUGGAAAUACACAAGGAUGGUUAUACUUCUAUCACCAUCUUGGCGCAGAUGACCACAAGCUUAGUCAGGAAGAGAUUCCUAUUGCACUGAUUCGAUUUACUUACUGCAACAGAUCAGCAUGGACUCCGGCCCCUCAGGGGCAGCUACUUAUUGAGAAGAUGCAUUAGUCUACCUCAGUGAAAACACUGAUCACGAAGCAGUUUGCCUUGACCUUACAAGACACCACAAGCUGUCCACCUUCACUGCUGUGUUCCAAGGUUAUGUCCGAUGCUCUUUCUCCGCCACGAUUGGGUACAGAGGAUUGUACCCAAUACCACGAUUGGUCAUCUCGUCUCACCAUCUCAAGUGAUUUUAUUUUAGUUUGUCACAUCGAUGGCAAGUUGGAGUGUCUGGAGAGUAGAGGAACCUACACACUUAUGCCUUGAUGAGCAGCAUGAGAGGGUCCUGACACCUGAGACCAUGAGGCCCUCAAAUGAUGCUUCCAGGCAUCCCAGCCAGCGACAGAGACAGCGAAGCCUCACUAGUCUGGUUUCCAUACCUCCCGCUUGCCUUGAGCCUGGCUGACACAUGCCCUCCUUGUGAUGGAUGUCACACUCAACAGCGACAAGCAUUUGGGCACUUGGCGGAGAUUGUCCUGGGAAGGAAGCGUUCUUGUUGUCAUAAGGACAAAUGACUCAGUGAAUAUGAGCCUGGCAAACAGCUCCUGCUUCUAUGAACAGCCACGGACACCCCAAAGAAACCAUCGGGUACCAACACUGGCUUGAGACACGAACAAGCGUAUGGUGACGUGUACUGUUUCAGGUACCCCCACCUUCUUGGGGUCACUGGUUGCUUCUGACUUUAGCUAGUAGGAGUAUGACCCCAGUCUUCUGGGUCACCUGGGUAAAUCUCUGUAUCAUCUUGGCCUGACGCCCUGAUUUCUGUUCCCCGAAUCCCUCUUUUAUGCCACACUGUUGCUACAGGCUUCUAGACUAACAGAAUGGCCUUAUGGGAGGGAAGUGGGCCAUUUGGGUUUCACUUCCUCAUCCAACUGACCCCUGUCUCUGCUCACGUGUCCAGACUCAACACAGAGCAGUCCCUGUCACACUCUUAGGCAGCCCCCUUCUCCUAGGCUUCCUGUCACACCUGCUUGGACCGUUGCUGUAUUUGUUCUUGGGCAGUUGUAUGUCCUUGGAUUCUUAGUUUCUCUUAAUUUGGGCUGACGUGAGUUAGUGAAAAGAUAAGGUUGAAGAGGUUGAUAAAUGUCUCUUUCAACAGUCUCCUGGGGCUAAACUUUCCACCUACUGAGAGAGAGCACUUGGAAGUCACAUGGGCACUUUGGUGUCUUGUAGUGCCAUAGGGGAGCCUCUGGCAUUCUAUAGGUGGGGACAGUCAUCCUAAUAUUUUCACCAGAGCUUUCCCAUUGAAAAUACCAACAGCUUCCAUCCAAAGACACUGCUCUAACUGGAUCAGCAUUCUUUGCAGAGUUAGAGGUACCGGAUGGAAGAUCCUUGGAUAACAAAAAUCAGAUGGAUGAACCCAGUGAAUGGGGAAGCAUGCAGACAGCCCAGGUGUACACGGCACUUUAUGAAUAUUGGACAACUAUAGGAAAUGCAACUACGAGAUUUCUCCAGAGGAGGUCUGUGUGCCUUCUGUGAGUUGCUCCCUGGGAGAUGGAGGUCUGUGUGCAUUCUGUGAGUUGCUCCCUGGGAGAUGGAGGUCUGUGUGCAUUCUGGGAAUUGCUGUCUGGGAGAUGCUUAUGCCAGCAUCCUGGAAGCAGCUGCUUGGAAAUGAAAAGAACUGAGGACAUCCACUCUGACUUCUGACUCAAGAUAAUGAAGCCCUCAUCCAGUGGCUGAUGGAAGCAGAGACAGACAUCCACAGAUAUACACUGAGCUGAAAUCGGGAAUUUAGUUGAAGAGAGGGAGGAAUGAAGAUCGAAGGGGUCAGUACCAGGUUGGAGAAACCCACAGGAACAGUUGGCUGGAACAAGGGAGAGCACAUCGACCCCAGAUGCUGUCUGGGAGGCCAGUACAAGACUGAUCCAGACCCCUGAACAUGGAUGUCAAUAAGGAGGCCUCUGCACUCCAGGGAGCCUCUGGUGGUGGAUUAGUAUUUUUCCCUGGUACAAGAAGGGACUUUGAGAGCCCAUCCCACGUGAAGGGUUACACUCUGGCCCUGGACACAUGGGGAAGGGCCCAGGACCAGCACAGGAAGAUUUGGUGGACUUUGCAGAGCCCCCGUUGAGGGCCC
This 2723-nucleotide long non-coding RNA is filed under the name Cricetulus griseus (Chinese hamster). Its description in RNAcentral is "lncRNA (ENSCGRG00015034184.1)". The record is from RNAcentral. Lineage: Eukaryota; Metazoa; Chordata; Mammalia; Rodentia; Cricetidae.